GGAUACCUGGUGUAUGCGCCAGACACACAGUCCUCGAGCCGAUAAAUGUAAACCUGGAGGUUGCUGAUCAUUGUUGGUGUGCAUGUCCGGCCUUGGUCGGGAAGCCUAAUACAGUGCGGGAACCACCGCCUUGAACCGUUGGGUUCAAGGGCUGCGCUGUCAGCGGUAUACCGGGAUCCA
RNAcentral lists this non-coding RNA (180 nucleotides) under Halieaceae bacterium. Its description in RNAcentral is "6S RNA". It matches the Rfam family "6S / SsrS RNA". From Rfam's summary of the family: E. coli 6S RNA was the first non coding RNA to be sequenced, but its function was unknown until recently. It consists of 184 nucleotides that fold into an extended hairpin structure with a large single-stranded internal bulge. The record is from RNAcentral. Lineage: Bacteria; Pseudomonadati; Pseudomonadota; Gammaproteobacteria; Cellvibrionales; Halieaceae.